Molecule: ribosomal RNA, 253 nt
Filed under: uncultured bacterium
Lineage: Bacteria
Description: partial 16S ribosomal RNA
Rfam family: Bacterial small subunit ribosomal RNA
Source: RNAcentral
UACGAAGGGGGCUAGCGUUGCUCGGAAUCACUGGGCGUAAAGGGUGCGUAGGCGGGUCUUUAAGUCAGGGGUGAAAUCCUGGAGCUCAACUCCAGAACUGCCUUUGAUACUGAAGAUCUUGAGUUCGGGAGAGGUGAGUGGAACUGCGAGUGUAGAGGUGAAAUUCGUAGAGAUCGGGAGGAACACCUGUGGCGAAGGCGGCUCGCUGGGCCGGUCCUGACGCUGAGACGCGAAGGCGUGGGGAGCGAACGGG